AUAUAUCAACCUUCUCUUGUUGAGUGGUUUGGAUGUGGGGGUUUGCUGGCCUUCUAAAAGGUUUUCAGCUCCCCUGAAAUGCAUUAGCGGAAACAACCCUGUUCAUUGGUGUGAUAAACUAUCUACGCUACUGAAUGUGAAGGGGCAGUUUGGCUUUCUAACGGUCCUCGGACAGCUCAUCAUUAA
This 186-nucleotide unclassified non-coding RNA is filed under the name uncultured Cortinarius. RNAcentral describes it as "sequence contains ITS2". The record is from RNAcentral. Lineage: Eukaryota; Fungi; Basidiomycota; Agaricomycetes; Agaricales; Cortinariaceae.